RNAcentral lists this unclassified non-coding RNA (374 nucleotides) under uncultured Gammaproteobacteria bacterium. Its description in RNAcentral is "contains 16S-23S intergenic spacer region". Lineage: Bacteria; Pseudomonadati; Pseudomonadota; Gammaproteobacteria. The record is from RNAcentral.
UCCGGUUUGUCACCGGCAGUCUCCCUAGAGUGCCCUUGCGUAGCAACUAGGGACAAGGGUUGCGCUCGUUGCGGGACUUAACCCAACAUCUCACGACACGAGCUGACGACAGCCAUGCAGCACCUGUGUUUCGAUUCCCUUUCGGGCACACCCACCUCUCAGCAGGCUCUCGAACAUGUCAAGGGUAGGUAAGGUUGUUCGCGUUGCAUCGAAUUAAUCCACAUCAUCACCCGCUUGUGCGGGUCCCCGUCAAUUCCUUUGAGUUUUAACCUUGCGGCCGUACUCCCCAGGCAGGGCACUUAAUGCGUUAGCUGCGGCACCGGAGGGGUCGAUACCCCCGACACCUAGUGCCCACCGUUUACGGCGUGGACUAC